CGAUGGUGACGAUGAGUGCAACGAGGGGAAGAGUGAUUUGGGGGAAAUGAGAAAGUAAAUUUCGUGAGAGGAUUUGGAGGGAAAGUUAUGCUACAAUGACAAAGGAGUGUGACAAAAUUGGAUGACAAAGUUGGAUCUACACCAAUCAUUUCAAAAAUAGAUUUUUAAAUCAUUUGAAAUCAGUGGCCUGGAUUCUGUCAACACAUUUUGUAAAGCCACUUUUGUAACCCAACCUUGUUGAAGUAGAGUUAUUGUUGGAGGAAAUGGGAGAGACGAACAAAAAUUGGGGAAUGGGGAAGUAAAAUACGAUUUUGUUUCAACAUCUUUUUCAUUUUUUUUUUUUUAGAAAACUCUGCCACGUAAUUCAAUUUCGAAAUCC
Molecule: long non-coding RNA, 379 nt
Filed under: Olea europaea (common olive)
Lineage: Eukaryota; Viridiplantae; Streptophyta; Magnoliopsida; Lamiales; Oleaceae
Description: long non-coding RNA (OEUR_LNC009333)
Source: RNAcentral